UAGUUUACGCGUGUGAGCCCGACAGAGAAGGCCAGUUUUCUUGGGGGUCGGCUACGUUGGCGUAUAUGUAUCGCCAGUUAGGAUUCUCGAGCCGGGCUGAUGCGGCAGGUAUCAUUGGAUGUCUGACAUUGUUACAGACCUGGAUAUACGAGUAUUUUCCUGCGUUUCGACUACACCGCGACUUAGUUCCUAUUGGGGAUUGGCAGCCACGUGCCUAUGCGUGGAGUCCGCAGUUCGAGAAGAAGUCCAUUGACCGCCUGAGAUCGAUACGGUUAUUGCUUGACAGGAUGUCCCCAUUAGAGGUGAACUGGAUGCCUUUCGGCCAGGAUCCUAGUAAUAAGGUACCUAGGGCCCUCUACACGGGACUGAUUCAGUAUCGUGAGAUUGUAGAGGCGUACAUGCCGCAGCGCUGUCUUCGCCAGCUUGGAUUUGUCCAACUUAUUCCUCCUCCACCAGCAUGGUCUAGUAAGGCGGUAUGAUCUGUGUCGUCGAAGGAGUACGUCGUCCAAUGGCCGGGAAGCAUAAUUGCCACGUGGGAGCAGUUUCCGAUGGUUGCCCGUCUAUGGACGGCGGAGCUGCAGCGGCCGCCAACUGGGGUGACUGUCAUGUGUGACCAGCACUACAUGGAAUGGUACAACCGGUAUUCGCACACGAGGUUGAUCAGAGACCUCCACCACGGCGACGAUGCCGAUGAUGAUGAUGUGCCACCGCCCACUGCCGUGGAUGCGUGAAUGAGAAAGAUGAUGCAGCUGGGACACAGACUUUUUGAGGAGAGGGACAAGAUGACGACUGCAUCAGGCAGAGCUGUUAUUGAUGAUCUGGAACGGGCCCUGGAGCAGUGGCAGUGGGCGUCACAGAGGGAUUACUGAUUUGUGGGUAGUUUAUUUAUAGAACAUUUUGUACAUUAUCAUAGUUGUUUGUAAAAUUUGACAUUAUCUUUUUAGUUCGUAACAUUUGAAAUUAUUAUUUUAAAUUUUUAAAAUUUGACAUUAUCUUUUUAGUUUGUAACGCGCAAGAUCUAAUUAGUGUGCAUGCAAGAUAUAAAUUUAGUCAAAAUUAGAAUACGAAAAAUAAAUAAAUGGAAUAAAAAUAGCAAUAAAAAUACAAGGUUACAUAGAAAAGGUAGGUAUAUGCGUGAAAAACUAAAAGGCAGCUAGGUUGUUCCACUGCUACAUCCGGGCAUGAUACAGCGCAUCCCAACUCUACGCUUGU
Molecule: long non-coding RNA, 1212 nt
Organism: Chenopodium quinoa (quinoa)
Lineage: Eukaryota; Viridiplantae; Streptophyta; Magnoliopsida; Caryophyllales; Amaranthaceae
Exons: 3
Source: RefSeq, a predicted model, not a curated record